This 73-nucleotide transfer RNA is filed under the name Camelus dromedarius (Arabian camel). It matches the Rfam family "tRNA". Rfam says of the family: Transfer RNA (tRNA) molecules are approximately 80 nucleotides in length. Their secondary structure includes four short double-helical elements and three loops (D, anti-codon, and T loops). Further hydrogen bonds mediate the characteristic L-shaped molecular structure. tRNAs have two regions of fundamental functional importance: the anti-codon, which is responsible for specific mRNA codon recognition, and the 3' end, to which the tRNAs corresponding amino acid is attached (by aminoacyl-tRNA synthetases). tRNAs cope with the degeneracy of the genetic code in two manners: having more than one tRNA (with a specific anti-codon) for a particular amino acid; and 'wobble' base-pairing, i.e. permitting non-standard base-pairing at the 3rd anti-codon position. RNAcentral also lists the same sequence under 1 other name. Lineage: Eukaryota; Metazoa; Chordata; Mammalia; Artiodactyla; Camelidae. The record is from Rfam by way of RNAcentral.
GAGGGUAGAGCUCAAGUGGUAGAGCUCAUGCUUAGCAUGCAUAAGGUCCUGGGUUCAAUCCCCAGCACCUCCU